This 101-nucleotide microRNA precursor is filed under the name Guillardia theta CCMP2712. Its description in RNAcentral is "microRNA mir-598". Lineage: Eukaryota; Cryptophyceae; Pyrenomonadales; Geminigeraceae. The record is from RNAcentral.
UGAUGAUGAUGAUGAUGAUGAUGAUGAUGACGACGAUGAUGACGAUGAUGAUGCACAGCAAUCGUGAUGCUCGUUUUCAUUUUCCUUCCUCAUCUUUUUCU